ACGAACGCUGGCGGCGUGCUUAACCCCUGCAAGUCGCACGGAAAGGCCCUGCUUUUGUGGGGUGCUCGAGUGGCGAACGGGUGAGUAACACGUGAGUAACCUGCCCUUGACUUUGGGAUAACUUCAGGAAACUGGGGCUAAUACCGGAUAGGAGCUCCUGCUGCAUGGUGGGGGUUGGAAAGUUUCGGCGGUUGGGGAUGGACUCGCGGCUUAUCAGCUUGUUGGUGGGGUAGUGGCUUACCAAGGCUUUGACGGGUAGCCGGCCUGAGAGGGUGACCGGCCACAUUGGGCCUGAGAUACGGCCCAGACUCCUACGGGAGGCAGCAGUGGGGAAUAUUGCACAAUGGGCGGAAGCCUGAUGCAGCAACGCCGCGUGCGGGAUGACGGCCUUCGGGUUGUAAACCGCUUUCGCCUGUGACGAAGCGUGAGUGACGGUAAUGGGUAAAGAAGCACCGGCUAACUACGUG
Molecule: ribosomal RNA, 467 nt
Filed under: uncultured bacterium
Lineage: Bacteria
Description: partial 16S ribosomal RNA
Rfam family: Bacterial small subunit ribosomal RNA
Source: RNAcentral